UACGUAGGGAGCAAGCGUUGUCCGGAAUCAUUGGGCGUAAGGAGCUCGUAGGCGGUUUGCUCAGUUGGAUGUGAAACCUCCAGGCUCAACCUGGAGCCGCCAUUCGAUACUGGCAUGACUAGAGUCCGGUAGGGGCCCACGGAACUCCUGGUGUAGCGGUGAAAUGCGCAGAUAUCAGGAAGAACACCGAUGGCGAAGGCAGCCCCCUGGGUUAACACUGACGCUCAUGCACGAAAGCGUGGGGAGCAAACAGG
Molecule: ribosomal RNA, 254 nt
Filed under: uncultured bacterium
Lineage: Bacteria
Description: partial 16S ribosomal RNA
Rfam family: Bacterial small subunit ribosomal RNA
Source: RNAcentral